GACGAACGCUGGCGGCGUGCUUAACACAUGCAAGUCGAACGGAAAGGCCCUGCUUUUGUGGGGUGCUCGAUUGGCGAACGGGUGAGUAACACGUGAGUAACCUGCCCUUGACUUUCGGAUAACUUCAGGAAACUGGGGCUAAUACCGGAUAGGAUCUCCUGCUGCAUGUUGGGGGUUGGUAAGUUUCGGCGGUUGGGGAUGGACUCGCGGCUUAUCAGCUUGUUGGUGGGGUAGUGGCUUACCAAGGCUUUGACGGGUAGCCGGCCUGAGAGGGUGACCGGCCACAUUGGGACUGAGAUACGGCCCAGACUCGUACGGGAGGCAGCAGUGGGGAAUAUUGCAGAAUGGGCGGAAGCCUGAUGCAGCAACGCCGCGUGCGGGAUGACGGCUUUCGGGUUGUAAACCGAUUUGGCAGGUGACGAAGCGUGAGUGACGGUAAUGGGUAAAGAAGCAACGGCUAACUACGUG
Molecule: ribosomal RNA, 468 nt
Filed under: uncultured bacterium
Lineage: Bacteria
Description: partial 16S ribosomal RNA
Rfam family: Bacterial small subunit ribosomal RNA
Source: RNAcentral